UUCGAACGCGAAGGSSMCGCAAKSSSYRAGUAGAGUGGCAAACGGGUGAGUAACACGUGGGUGACCUGCCUYMGAGYGGGGGAUAACGUCCCGAAAGGGACGCUAAUACCGCAUAACAUCCUGCCUUUGRARAGGYGGAGAUCAAAGCYGGGGAUCGCAAGACCYGGCRCUUGRAGAGGGGCCCGCGUCUGAUUAGCUAGUUGGURGGGUAAYGGCCUACCRAGGCAACGAUCAGUAUCCGGCCUGAGAGGGCGGACGGACACACUGGGACUGAGACACGGCCCAGACUCCUACGGGARGCAGCAGUGGGGAAUUGUUCGCAAUGGGCGCAAGCCUGACGACGCAACGCCGCGUGGAGGAUGAAGAUCUUCGGGUCGUAAACUCCUGUCGAGCGGGAAGAACACUUUUCGGGCGAAUAUCCCGGAAGGCUGACGGUACCGCUAAAGGAAGCCCCGGCUAACUCCGUGCCAGCAGCCGCGGUAAUACGGGGGGGGCAAGCGUUGUUCGGAAU
Molecule: ribosomal RNA, 511 nt
Filed under: uncultured bacterium
Lineage: Bacteria
Description: partial 16S ribosomal RNA
Rfam family: Bacterial small subunit ribosomal RNA
Source: RNAcentral